This 19-nucleotide small nuclear RNA is filed under the name Arabidopsis thaliana (thale cress). RNAcentral's name for it is "snRNA_12669". Lineage: Eukaryota; Viridiplantae; Streptophyta; Magnoliopsida; Brassicales; Brassicaceae. The record is from RNAcentral.
GACGGCGUCGUUCCAGCUC